AAGCAACGCGAAGAACCUUACCUAGACUUGUACAUCUCUGAAUUACCGUAACUGGGAAGCUCUUCGGAGCAGGAAGACAGGUGGUGCAUGGUUGUCGUCAGCUCGUGUCGUGAGAUGUUGGGUUAAGUCCCGCAACGAGCGCAACCCUUAUCGUUAGUUGCUACCAUUAGGUUGAGCACUCUAGCGAGACUGCCGGGUUAACCGGGAGGAAGGUGGGGAUGACGUCAAAUCAUCAUGCCCCUUAUGUCUAGGGCUACACACGUGCUACAAUGGUGAGAACAAAGAGAGGCAAGACCGCGAGGUGGAGCAAAUCUCACAAAACUCAUCCCAGUUCGGAUUGCAGGCUGAAACUCGCCUGCAUGAAGCCGGAGUUGCUAGUAAUCGCGAAUCAGCAUGUCGCGGUGAAUACGUUCCCGGGCCUU
Molecule: ribosomal RNA, 422 nt
Filed under: uncultured Clostridium sp.
Lineage: Bacteria; Bacillati; Bacillota; Clostridia; Eubacteriales; Clostridiaceae
Description: bacterial SSU rRNA
Rfam family: Bacterial small subunit ribosomal RNA
Source: RNAcentral